This 459-nucleotide ribosomal RNA is filed under the name uncultured bacterium. Its description in RNAcentral is "partial 16S ribosomal RNA". It matches the Rfam family "Bacterial small subunit ribosomal RNA", at positions 338 to 795 of the family's 1533-position model. The record is from RNAcentral.
CCUACGGGAGGCUGCAGUGAGGAAUAUUGGUCAAUGGCCGGGAGCCUGAACCAGCCAAGUCGCGUGAGGGAAGACGGCCCUAUGGGUUGUAAACCUCUUUUGUCAGGGAGCAAGGUGCAGGUCGGGACCUGCUGCGAGAGUACCCGAAGAAAAAGCAUCGGCUAACUCCGUGCCAGCAGCCGCGGUAAUACGGAGGAUGCGAGCGUUAUCCGGAUUUAUUGGGUUUAAAGGGUGCGCAGGCGGAGGCACAAGUCAGCGGUAAAAUCGCGGGGCUCAACCCCGCCCCGCCGUUGAAACUGUGUCCCUUGAGUGCGCGAAGGGUAGGCGGAAUGCGUGGUGUAGCGGUGAAAUGCAUAGAUAUCACGCAGAACUCCGAUCGCGAAGGCAGCAUACCGGCGCGCAACUGACGUUGAGGCUCGAAAGCGUGGGGAGCGAACAGGAUUAGAUACCCUUGUAGUC